GACGAACGCUGGCGGCGUGCUUAAACAUGCAAGGCGAACGGAAAGGCCCUGCUUUUGUGGGGUGCUCGAGUGGCGAACGGGUGAGUAACACGUGAGUAACCUGCCCUUUACUUUGGGAUAACUUCAGGAAACUGGGGCUAAUACCGGAUAGGGGCUCCUGCUGCAUGGUGGGGGUUGGAAAGUUUCGGCGGUUGGGGAUGGACUCGCGGCUUAUCAGCUUGUUGGUGGGGUAGUGGCUUACCAAGGCUUUGACGGGUAGCCGGCCUGAGAGGGUGACCGGCCACAUUGGGACUGAGAUCCGGCCCAGACUCCUACGGGAGGCAGCAGUGGGGAAUAUUGCACAAUGGGCGGAAGCCUGAUGCAGCAACGCCGCGUGCGGGAUGACGGCCUUCGGGUGGUAAACCGCUUUCGCCUGUGACGAAGCGUGAGUGACGGUAAUGGGUAAAGAAGCACCGGCUAACUACGUG
Molecule: ribosomal RNA, 467 nt
Filed under: uncultured bacterium
Lineage: Bacteria
Description: partial 16S ribosomal RNA
Rfam family: Bacterial small subunit ribosomal RNA
Source: RNAcentral